This 73-nucleotide transfer RNA is filed under the name Pteropus alecto (black flying fox). It matches the Rfam family "tRNA". Rfam says of the family: Transfer RNA (tRNA) molecules are approximately 80 nucleotides in length. Their secondary structure includes four short double-helical elements and three loops (D, anti-codon, and T loops). Lineage: Eukaryota; Metazoa; Chordata; Mammalia; Chiroptera; Pteropodidae. The record is from Rfam by way of RNAcentral.
GGUUUCAUAGUGUAGCAGUUAGCAUGUCUGCUUUACAUGCAGAAGGUCCAGGGUUCACACCCCACUGGAGCCA